RNAcentral lists this ribosomal RNA (437 nucleotides) under uncultured Oscillibacter sp. RNAcentral describes it as "bacterial SSU rRNA". It matches the Rfam family "Bacterial small subunit ribosomal RNA", at positions 341 to 792 of the family's 1533-position model. Lineage: Bacteria; Bacillati; Bacillota; Clostridia; Eubacteriales; Oscillospiraceae. The record is from RNAcentral.
ACGGAAGGCAGCAGUGGGGAAUAUUGGGCAAUGGGCGCAAGCCUGACCCAGCGACGCCGCGUGAAGGAAGAAGGUCUUCGGAUUGUAAACUUCUUUUAUGUGGGACGAAGAAAAUGACGGUACCACAUGAAUAAGCCACGGCUAACUACGUGCCAGCAGCCGCGGUAAUACGUAGGUGGCGAGCGUUAUCCGGAUUUACUGGGUGUAAAGGGUGAGUAGGCGGGAUUGCAAGUCAGAUGUGAAAAUCAUGGGCUCAACUCAUGACCUGCAUUUGAAACUGUAAUUCUUGAGUAUCGGAGAGGUAAACGGAAUUCCUAGUGUAGCGGUGAAAUGCGUAGAUAUUAGGAGGAACACCAGUGGCGAAGGCGGAUUGCUGGACGACAACUGACGGUGAGGCGCGAAAGCGUGGGGAGCAAACAGGAUUAGAUACCCUGGUA